CGAACGGGUGAGUAACACGUGAGCAACCUACCUUACACAGGGGGAUAGCCGUUGGAAACGACGAUUAAUACCGCAUGAGACCACAGAAUCGCAUGAUAUAGGGGUCAAAGAUUUAUCGGUGUAAGAAGGGCUCGCGUCUGAUUAGCUAGUUGGAAGGGUAAGGGCCUACCAAGGCGACGAUCAGUAGCCGGUCUGAGAGGAUGAACGGCCACAUUGGAACUGAGACACGGUCCAA
This 235-nucleotide ribosomal RNA is filed under the name uncultured bacterium. RNAcentral describes it as "partial 16S ribosomal RNA". It matches the Rfam family "Bacterial small subunit ribosomal RNA", at positions 99 to 334 of the family's 1533-position model. The record is from RNAcentral.